GUGAGGAUGAAUUUCAGGUGCCUUUCUUUUUAAAGAAAAGAAAAGCAAUAUUCUGGAAGUGCUCUUGUUUGCUGCCAUGGUACCUGGCAAUGAAUUUAAUUUGCUAUAUUGCACUCUUCAGAGAACAUGUUUCUGCUGGUGUGUAAGGUCUGGAAGCUGUCUGCAUGCCAAGGCAAUGCCCCCUAAAUGAAGUCUUACAUAAACCCGACAAAUUAUCUUCAGAUAGAAGCCAUCUCAAUGGGCUACGGCACAGCCAUGAAAAUAACUACUGGAGAGAUCAAAGGCUUCAGCUCCCACUUCCUUCCCCUAUAUCCUGCCACCUUUCUGGACACAAAUACUGCCUGAAUGUAUUAAACGGGCCAGUCUCAGGUCAGUACCAAUAGGGAACUCACGAGUGAUUGAAUCACAAAUACAUUUUCUCGUGAGCAUUGCACUCUGGCCCACUUCUCUCCCAUUCGCUCCAAGCUUUACUCACCCCUAAUUUUAAAAGUAACCCUACUGAUGUCCACGGUUUCCCUAAAACCAUGUCCUCAGAAGAGCUUCAAGAGGCCCACAGAUGAAAUUACCAUCAUGGUUCCCUCAAAGAAUUGACUGUUCUAACAAACUCGGGCUCUAGGCAAGCACAGCUCCUAAGCACAUUUUCUGGAUCCUAUGCGUCAUUUGCUUCCUGGGAGUGGCAUUUCUAACCUUUAAAAUGGCAUUGUCUUCCCAAGCCAGGCAAGACCAGAGCUGGGUUAAUGGCUCUGUUCUGUUUUUGAAGAUCCUUAAGGAUCUUCAAACAUAAUCAUACAAUGCAGCCAGCUAUGCAGGGCUCCUGGCACUGAGUGUUGACUCAGGUGUCUUCAGUUUUAUUGUGCAUAAAAAGUACCUGGGGUCUCGUUAAAGUGUAGGUUCUGUUUUACCAGAUUAGGGAGCAGAUUCUAUACUUCUGUCAAACUCCCAGGCCCUACCAAAUCUACUGGCCUCUAGAGAACACUCUGAGAGGUAACAGAGAACAUCUCUGGGAACCCUUCCCUCCCUACUUCUGUGUAAGCAGAAACACCAAUAGCUGGCAUAAGCAAGUGCAGAACC
RNAcentral lists this long non-coding RNA (1071 nucleotides) under Fukomys damarensis (Damara mole-rat). Its description in RNAcentral is "lncRNA (ENSFDAG00000024525.1)". The record is from RNAcentral. Lineage: Eukaryota; Metazoa; Chordata; Mammalia; Rodentia; Bathyergidae.